CUUAGCGGCGGACGGGUGAGUAACGCGUGGGGAACCUGCCCUGUACAGGGGGAUAACACUUAGAAAUAGGUGCUAAUACCGCAUAAGCGCACAGUAUCGCAUGAUACAGUGUGAAAAACUCCGGUGGUACAGGAUGGACCCGCGUCUGAUUAGCUGGUUGGCGGGGUAACGGCCCACCAAGGCGACGAUCAGUAGCCGGCCUGAGAGGGUGAACGGCCACAUUGGGACUGAGACACGGCCCAAACUCCUACGGAAGGCAGCAG
Molecule: ribosomal RNA, 263 nt
Filed under: uncultured bacterium
Lineage: Bacteria
Description: partial 16S ribosomal RNA
Rfam family: Bacterial small subunit ribosomal RNA
Source: RNAcentral